This is a long non-coding RNA of Culex pipiens pallens (northern house mosquito), 3893 nucleotides long. RefSeq lists it as uncharacterized. The record is from RefSeq and is a predicted model, not a curated record. The transcript has 3 exons. NCBI's taxonomy places the organism in Eukaryota, Metazoa, Arthropoda, Insecta, Diptera, Culicidae.
GCGGUGGAUUUUCUUGAAAUACUUCAUGCGACGCGCGGGUGUCGCAUGACACAUUUCAGAAUAUUUCAAAUGAAACAUUUCUCUGCUGAAAUUCCACCAAAACAUUGACCAGGCUCACCACACAAAAACCUGGGUGCAGCAGCUCACCAAAGCGGUAGAUUUUUGACAGCUGUUUGUUUUGUUGUAUUUUGGUGGUCGGUCGCCUUUCCAUCUUCGCCGCCAGCUUGGAAUUCUCGCCCAACCUGCCGGAAAUGCUGAUCGCGUACGGUCUCAAGUUCGAGCAGCCCAAGAAGGAAUCGUUGAGGGGUAAGAAGCAGGUCGUGAUUGUGCGCGAACCGGCCGCCUCGUCCCAGCGCAAGGAGCAGGAAGAGUUGCAGCUCAAGACGCGAAGUCCAACGGCGGACAGUCAAGACGGCGGAGAUUUCGAUGGAGGACUUGACGCUAACGGGGGUUGCAGGGGACGGGAAAAAGUCUUCCGAGACUUCACAGCAAGGACGCGGAAAUUCAGCGCAGCGUGUUCAGCAGGAACGAGCCGGAUCUGAUUCAGCGGGCCGCAUUCCGGAGCAAUAUAUUUCGGCGCUGCUGGUGGAGAUUUCACGCAGAUGCAGCAGAAAACUGUGCAUGUCGCAACGGCCGUUUGCUGGCUCAAGGCCCUCAUUCGCAGUCACACGAGCCAGCUGAUAGCGCUGGGCUCGGAGAAUCUGCUGGCCAGCAUCUUCAGUCUGGGCAUCAUCGAGUAUCGGGUGCAGCAUGCCAACUCGGUGUCCAAGUAGGUGUUUGUUCGAGCCAAAGUCGAUCCGGUUGUAGCUGACCUGAGUAAGCAGUUCUAGCGCCGGCCCGCAUUCUACCUACUACAACUACUGACUGAGAGGUGGCUUCAAAUGUCGUCCUGUCGAAGAUCAUCCUCAAAGGAAACCGGUUCCAAGGUUGUCGGCCGCCUUCCCAUCUUCGCCGCCAGCUUGGAAUUCUCACCCAACCUGGUGGAAGUGGCCGCCUCGUUCCAGCGCAAGGAGCAGGAAGAGUUGCAGCUCAAGAAACGAACGCCGACGGUGGACAGCGCGUCGGUGGAAUUUUUGAACCCGUUCAAUGCAGGCAAGAAGGCACUCAAGACGGUGGAGAUUCCGAUGGAGGACCGGCUGGAGAGGGGGAAGUCUUCCGGGAUGAGUCAGAAGAAUAUGGCCCAUUUGCUUGACGCAGAAAUUCGGCGCAGCGUGUUCAGCAUGAACGGGCAGGAGCUGAUUCAGCAGACAGCAUUUCGGUGCUGCCGGGGGAGAUUUCCAUGCUGAUGAAGCAGGACAGUGUGCAUAAGUUUUUAAUUUUGUUCGCUUGAAAAGAUGCCGCCAUACAGGAAAACUUCGGUUUUGUUAACAGUGUCGUAACGGCUGUUUGCUGGCUCAAGGCCCUCAUCCACAGUCACACGAGCCAGCUGAUGACGCUGGGCUCGGAGAAUCUGCUGGCCAACUUCAGCUCCUGUUUGGCCAUCAUCGAGUACCGGGUGCAGCAUGACAACUCGCUGUCCAAGUAGGUGUUUGUUCGAGCCAAAAUCGAUCCGGUUGUUCCUGUAGUUGUCUGUUCCUCGCAAAAUUUGCUUGGCGACCGGUGUUGUGCGGUCAUCCACUUGUCCAGGAAUGGCUCCAGUUGCACGUCAACCCUCCGUGGCCGCUGUCUUCAGGCUCAUUCUUGGUCGAUUCGAUGACGUUUCCAACUUCUGUCCAGCUUGGAAUCCAAUGUGUCUACUGAACAGUAGAUUUACGGAAUGUCGAAUCGGCCAUGCACGAUUGAACAAUAAAAAGAUGGAGCAGAACAUCUACAAGAUCAACAAGGUGGGCUGAUUGAUACAGCACAACUAAAUGGCGGCGAUCAUGAAAAUUGUUCUUGUGCCGGGCCGCUUCCAGGUCAAGUUGCUCACGGAACAAACACUUCAUCAGCGCUACCCGCCAGGCAACUCAGUGCUGAUUUCGCUUGACGCCAACGCCAGCGGACCAAUACUCAUCCGGAAGAUACUUCGCCUUCGUUAGACCGAACUGGUCAAGCAGGAGUAAUAAUUUGAGCACCGGCUCUAGGGGCGUGUUACAUUAAAAAAUAAUUGAAAUGUUCAUCUGCGCUGCUUUAUACAUUACUAUUACAGUUAUUCUACUAUCAAAAUGUGCAAAAACAACAAUGAAUUCAUGAAAAAAAAAUCCCAAAACUGUUACGCCUACCACCGAUCUGUAGUUCAAAAAUUCAAAAUUCGUUAACUGCCCAAAAGCGAAAAAAAUUAAAUUAAAUUUUGAGCUGUGUGUAAUUAUUUUUAUUGUCUCCAAUUAUGAUCUUCAACAAGCAUUGGAAAGAAGAACUAUUUGAAGUUUGACUUGUUUUAUUAGACUUUUCCAAUGUUUUUUAAAUGUAUUGAUUUUCAGGAGUUAUUUUUGACUUUUACAACCAUUUCCUAUAUUUUAAGCAAAAAUAAGUAUUUUUGUUGUGUUGUGUAGUUUUUACAAUUUAGGUUGAUACGGAGCUCGAAAGGAACGCAAGACUCCUUAUAAAAAAAACAAAAGCGGAAGGGUCACGAAAAGAUUUUUUUAAGCGAUAUACGCACUUCGGAAGGAACCGGUCAAGAAAAAAAUCAAAUGGGCAGCAGUGGUAGCGAAAGCAAGCCAGAGAGGGUGAAGAAAAGCCCCAAGAAAUCAUUCCCUCUCCUUUGUUCUGCUGUUCGUAAAGCUAUUUCUUGACCCCUUUCCUUCCGAUCUGCAUACUAGCCUUUAAGCAGUACAUACGCAGCUGAUAAAAAACAGAAACGGAAAAUGGCGUUUGACAUUCCUUUGUACUAUGCCUGUUUGCAAUAUGUUUUAAUUGAAAAAAAAAAUCAAAUAAUUUGAAUUUGCUUAUUUGAAUGCGAUUGAAAUUUACAAACGAAUGAAUAAUUUUGUAUUUGAUAUAAUAAUAAAUAUAAAAGCCAAAACUCAAAUGCAGUAUCUUGAUUAAAAGGAUGGAAAUUAAGUGAAUCAAAGGAAAAGUCCAAAUUUUCUGGUAGAUUUUUUCUUUAAAUUGAGUGGAUUACCAACUCUAAAAUUUGGCAACACAGAAAUAUGGGAACUCAGAAAUGGAAUAAGAAGUUCAAAAAUAAAAAUGCAUAUUUAAAAAAACCAUUAUUAUAAAUUAAAAAAAAUAAGAGUAAAUAAACAGUAACUAAAAAAAUUAAUAAAUCACAAAUUCAAAGCAUCAGACAUCUAAAUAAUCCAAAAUAUUAAAAUUUGUAAUUAUUUUACAAAUUCAAAAAUUUAAAAGUAAAAUAUCAAAAAUUAUAUAAAAACAAAAUGUCAAAAAUUUAAAAAUUUGAAAUUUCAAGAACAUCAAAAAAUCAAAUAUUUAACAAUUCUAUAAUUUAAAAAUUCUCAUCAACUAUAAUUCCAAAAAUAAUUCAAAUGUAAAAAUUUAGCAAAUCUUUUUUUUUAAAUCAUCAUCACAAUUCAAUUAUUUAACAAUUGAACAGUUGAAAAAUUCAUAUAAAUUAUAAUUCUUAACCCUCUAACGCCCAUGGUUACACCAGAGCACCACUAAUUUUUGCUUUCAAAAUUAAAUUUCUCUGCAACCAUACAUUUUUUCAACUUGGUUUGACAUACGUUAGUUUAUAUAGAAUGUUAACAUAUAACCGUUGAAAAUUCAUCCAGAUUGGCCGAUCCAGUUCCAAGUAAUGGCGAAAAACGUAAAAAAUCUCGAUUCAGCUCUGGGCGGGAAGGGGUUAAAUACAUAAACAAUUAAACAUUUGGAAAACAAAAAUAAGAAAAAAAACUUUGGAAGGGACCAUCCAUAAACCACGUGGACACUUUUUUUGGAAAUGUGGACAAAUUUUCAUACAAAAAAAAAUCAUUUUUGUAUUGAGCGUGAACAAUCGCCGAAACCGAAUUUAAGAA